Molecule: non-coding RNA, 269 nt
Organism: Pelobates cultripes (western spadefoot toad)
Lineage: Eukaryota; Metazoa; Chordata; Amphibia; Anura; Pelobatidae
Source: the annotation of a GenBank genome assembly
CCCAUAUUAAGAAAGUAGGAGUCUAUCCUAUUAAUACUGUGAGUGUGACAGACCCUUAUUCACACGGGGGACCUGUUGAAUGGUAACUUUGCCCCACUGCUCAUAUCCCGCAGAACAUGUACAAUAGCCAUUUUCUAUACAUUGUCCUAUAUGUAGUUGAUGAAGGAUAUGCAUUCAAAGAGUGGGGAUCUUGUAGACUCUAACAGUGUUAUUCCAUAAAGUGAAAAUUAUAAGUGAAUUCAAAGAGAAUUUGGAAUUUAAGGCCAGAG